AACUUUAUUUAUUUUUUGUUCUGGAGAAGUCUGCCUUUUGCAUCAUGCUUAGUAGAUUACCUUGAAUAAAUUUCUUUAACCGAAAGCUUUGGAUUUCAAAUUUGAUUGUUUAGAACUUUAAUCGGGUAGAUACAAUUUAAAUUUUUUUUGUGUUGUGAUAAAUUAGUCGUCGUGGUUUAUAUCUGUUUUUCGGCUAUAAAUUUUAAGUCACUUGUUUGGUAACGAGAUCCAUCAAGUUAAUACAUUUUUUUUUCUUUUUUUUUUCAAUAAGGUUAAAAAUACCUUUUUGUCAGAAGUUUGUUAAAAGUUUUAAUAAAAAUUUAAAUAAAUUAUUUUCGUUAGUCGUUUAAUUGAACUUUUAGUGCUUAUUUAUUACUAAAUAAGUAAUGUGAGCACGUAUAGUUGUUUCUCAAGUUUUUCCUGUCUGUUUAUUAAAAACAUUUCUAUAUUCAAAUAUUUAUAGUAGUGCCUGCUCUAUGCUUACGUAAAUGGCCGCAGUAUCUUGACUGUGCGAAGGUAGCAUAAUUAAUUGCCUUAUAAUUGAAGGCUUGUCUGAAUGGUUUGACAAGGUAAAUACAAACAUCUGGUGUCUUUUUGAAAUUAAUAAAGAGGGCACAGAAUCCUCUUAUAUUAAUUAGACGGAAAGACCCCGGGAUCUUUCAUUUUUGUCUGGGGCAGAUUAAAAUUUUUCAUUAAGUUUAAGACCCUUAAAUAAGUUUGGUGAGUUAAGUUACCCCGGGGAUAACAGUGUAAUAGUCUAUUAGAGGUCUUAUCGAAUAGACUGUUUGCUACCUCGAUGUUGACUUAGGUAAAUAAGCUAGGCGCAGUAGUCUGGUUUUAAGGUCUGUUCGACCAUCAUUACCUCCAUGAGUUGAGUUAAGACCGGCGUGAGCCAGGUCGGUUCUUAUCUAUUAUUGUGAUUUAUUAGUACGAAAGGAUUGUAAGUUGUUUUUUU
RNAcentral lists this ribosomal RNA (955 nucleotides) under Acanthobothrium sp. MZUSP 7998. RNAcentral describes it as "16S ribosomal RNA". The stretch from base 632 to 914 matches the Rfam family "Archaeal large subunit ribosomal RNA", at positions 2150 to 2716 of the family's 2987-position model. The record is from RNAcentral. Lineage: Eukaryota; Metazoa; Platyhelminthes; Cestoda; Tetraphyllidea; Onchobothriidae.